RNAcentral lists this long non-coding RNA (451 nucleotides) under Homo sapiens (human). RNAcentral's name for it is "HSALNT0387914". Lineage: Eukaryota; Metazoa; Chordata; Mammalia; Primates; Hominidae. The record is from RNAcentral.
UCCAGGCUGAAGCGAUCCUCCCACCUCAACCUCCCACGUGGCUGAGACUACAGGUGCUUGCCACUAUGCCCAACUAACAUUUGGAAUUUUCGUAUACGUGGAUUCUAGAGGGGUGACAGCGAAACGUGAGUGGGACCAUCCAGUUGCAGGAAAACAAGCUUAACACGCCCACUGAUUCUACAUUAUGCUCCUACCUCCCGGCAGCCUCUCCAGGCCCAGAACUUUCUCCAGUCAGCCUCUACAGACCAAGCUCAUGACUCUCAAUGGCCUAUUUAGGCCCAUACCCUACGUCACGGCAGCCUCCGCAGAUGAGGCUACUGCCUCACAACAGCCUCCACAGGCACAGCUCCAUCGUUACAAUGGCCUCUUUAGACCCAGCUCCUGCCUCCCAGCCUUCUCUCCAGGCCCUGAACUUUCUCAAGUCAACCUCACCAGGCCCAGCUCAUGCUUC